This 332-nucleotide ribosomal RNA is filed under the name uncultured eukaryote. RNAcentral describes it as "partial 18S ribosomal RNA". It matches the Rfam family "Eukaryotic small subunit ribosomal RNA", at positions 1470 to 1796 of the family's 1831-position model. The record is from RNAcentral.
CCCUUAGAUGUUCUGGGCCGCACGCGCGCUGCACUGUUCGACGCAGCGAGUCUUAACCUUGACCGAAAGGUUUGGGUAAUCUUCAGCAAAGUCGAACGUGAUGGGGAUCGAUCAUUGCAAUUAUUGAUCGUGAACGAGGAAUUCCUAGUAAGUGCAAGUCAUCAGCUUGCGCUGAUUACGUCCCUGCCCUUUGUACACACCGCCCGUCGCUACUACCGAUUGAAUGGUUUAGUGAGAUCUCUGGAUUGACGCUGGCUAGGGGGCGACCCUUGGCCAGACUGCUCGAGAAACUGCUCAAACUUGAUCAUUUAGAGGAAGUAAAAGUCGUAACA